Molecule: RNA transcript, 3181 nt
Organism: Scomber scombrus (Atlantic mackerel)
Lineage: Eukaryota; Metazoa; Chordata; Actinopteri; Scombriformes; Scombridae
Gene: exoc7
Gene name: exocyst complex component 7
Exons: 9
Source: RefSeq, a predicted model, not a curated record
UGUUUAAGCAAUCCACAACAGUAGCUUUUGGAGCGUCGUUUUUGUCCCUUUUUAUGCUCUGAAUAGGUUAUUUUGGCUCUUGUGAAGUGACUGGUGGCCGUGCUUUGAUGGGAAUUACCGGCAGGAUGAUUCCUACCGAGGAUGCAUCUGCCAGGAAGAGAGAGAUAGAGGAGAAACUGAAGCAGGAGCAGGAGACUCUUUCAUUCAUUAGAGAAAACCUGGAGAAGAGUGAUCAGCUGACCAAGGGCAUGGUCUCCAUCCUGUCCUCGUUCGAGAGCCGCCUGAUGCAGCUGGAGAACUCCAUCAUCCCGGUUCACAAGCAGACGGAGAACCUGCAGCGGCUGCAGGAGAACGUGGACAAAACUCUGUCCUGCAUGGAUCACGUCAUCAGCUACUAUCACGUGGCCAAAGACACCGACAGAAUCAUCAGAGAGGGACCGACGGGCAGACUGGAUGAGUAUCUUGCUUGUAUUGCAAAGAUUCAGAAAGCUGUGGAAUACUUUCAAGACAACAACCCCGACAGCCCCGAACUCAACACAGUGAAAGCGCGCUUUGAGAAGGGCAAAGAGCUGCUGGAGGCCGAGUUCCGCAGCCUCCUGACCCGCUACAGCAAACCCGUUCCCCCCAUCCUCAUUCUGGAUGCCAUCAGCAUGGACGACGAGCUGGAGGUGCAGGAGGAGGUGGUGCUCGAACACCUGCCCGAAGCCGUCCUCCAGGACAUCAUCUGCAUCGCCGGCUGGCUGGUGGAAUAUGGACGCAACCAGGACUUCAUGAACGUCUACUACCAGAUCAGGUCCAACCAGCUGGAUCGCUCCAUCAAAGGCCUGAAGGAUCACUUCCGUAAAAACAGCGCCUCCUCUGGGAUCCUCUACUCGCCCGCCGUCCAAACCAAACGCAAGGACACGCCCACCAAAAAGGCUCCAAAGCGACCAGUCUACAUCCCAGGGACCAUUCGCAAGGCUCAGAACCUUCUGAAACAGUACUCACAGCAUGGGCUGGAUGGGAAAAAGGGGGGCUCUAACCUCACUCCUUUGGAAGGUAACGCACCUCGGUUUUCUCUUUGGUGUCUUGUUUCCCUCCUCGCUGACAGUACCGGUGUUAUGUGUUGCCUCUCUGUUGUUUCUCAUUUAGAGAAACAAGCACACAUAAAACCUCCUGUGUUUCACAACAGCUUUUAUACUUUACAGAUGUUGGAAAUGUCAUCUUGCUCUGCAGGAGGCAAAACUAACUUCAUUCAGGAAAUUAAAAGCAAAUAAAUCCAUCCGAAAAAUCAUCGUUUAAUAAUUAUUAUGUCUGAAUCUAGGUCGUGAUUUGGUUUUAUUACUUUUCUCAUCCCACCAAAUCUAAAUAUGACAGCAAGAUAAGGUAUUUCCAGCAGAAGGAAAGUGAAGACAAACCAAAAAAACUCCAAAAUCAGCAGGCAAAAAAAAAAAAAAAGUCAGUGGAAAUUCUCUUUGUAGCAGUCCUUAAAAUUACAACAGAAAAUAUGCAGUAUAUAAAUACCUAAAAUAUGUAUACAGAUGGUCAUAAACACCACAGAAUCACAGAAGAGAAAUAUUCCAGCUUCUCCAGUUCACCCAGUAGACGAUAAUGAGCUUUUUUUUCAAUAGUUAAUAAUCUGUCUGCAGUUUCAUCCAAAAACUGGAGAGGAAUUACAACAUUUUACAAUUACUAAUUUUAAUAUUUAGCAUAUUACAAUACAGUUUUAAUUAUUGGCUAAUCUCAUUAUUAUAAUUUAUAAUAAUAAUUAUAUGAAAUGUCAAAUAAGAACAUGGGGAAAAAAGGUUUCCAGUGUCCAAAGUGAAGUCUUUGAAUGUGUUGUUUUGUCGGAUCAACAGGACACAACUCAAUGGUAUUAAAUUUAUAAGGAGAAAAAAAAGAUUAAAACAAAAAAAAAAGAAAAGAUAAAUAAAAGCAGCAAAUCAUUUGAGAGUUUUGUCCAUUUUUCAUAAUUAAAUGAUUAAAGAGUCCGACUGAUUGUGUCAACAUUGAUGUUUGACAGUUUUUUAAAAACAAAUCUGACAAAUCAGCUGAUAUUAAUAUUUGAACAUAAACAACUCGUACUGAGCAGGACAGUUUCUAAAUGAGCUCAAACAUCAGCCAACAUAAACACUGAGACUGUUAAUCUGUUAUAAGAUAAUAUCAGCUGUUAGUAGAUAUUUUAAAGCUGAGCAGACGUCACCAGUGAUGCACAAAGAAAAGAUGAACAGUCAGUUAUGAAUUAACAAUAACUUUAACAUUAAAUAACCAAACUAUUCUGCAGUUAGCGAGUUUAACAUCAUUAAUCUCAACAAUGAAGAAGAAGUUUAAUCCUGUCUGGUGAGUGUUGGUGAAACAUUAAAAAAACUGAACUAAAACCAAAUUGGUACAAAAAGUGUGAUAUGUAACAGUGUCAGACGGGGGGGGGGGGGGUAAAGUGGGGACGGAUCAUGAAUUAAAAGCUGUUGUGAUAUUUUUCUUGUUGCUGUAGUUUUAACACAAACUGACUAACUUAGACAUCAUUCACACGCACAAACCAAAGCCCCCCGCCACUCACCCAACUGCAGUGGGUGUCCCCUUCUUCCUCCCCUCAUCCCCUCCUCCCCCCCUGCUGGGUGCUUGGUGGUGGUCAGCACAGGUGUUCCAGGUUCAGGUUUGUGUCACCGUCCCUCCGUCGGGCCUAGUCACGACCCCCCGCGGUGGUUUGACUAGGCCUGUCUCCCCCUGCUGCCCCACCCUCACCCACCAGGUUACGAUCACGACCUGCGGGUCAAACACCUCUCUGACGCCCUGACCGAGAAGCACGGGGCCGCCGCAGGUGAGUGACGGGAACAUGUGGGGGAAGAGAAGGAAAACAUUACCACCAAAAAAAUUAAAUAAAUAUAAAAAUCUCAAAUACUGCAGCUUUAACAAGUCUCACUUCCUUUUGCUGUACAACAACAUUCACAACCUGCAGCAUAAACACAUUAUCACCUUCAUCUCAGUAUAUACUCGUCCUCACAACACCACAGCCACACAUCUUAAAUCAGCAUCUUUUGGUUCCCUGUCUUGACUUGAUCUUUCCUCGUGUACCUCUCAGGAAAGGAUGAUGUGCUGGACAUCGAGAUCGACUCCUACAUCCACUGUAUCAGCGCCUUCGUCAAGCUGGCCCAGAGCGAGUACGUCCUCCUCGCAGAAAUCAUCCCCGAGCACCACCAGAAGA